AGUGAGGAAAGGUGUGACUAGUGACAGAGUGAGGGAGGGGUGACUAGUGACAGAGUGAGGGAGGGAAGGGGGUGACUAGUGACAGUCACCACCUCCUUCACUCUGUCACUGUGUCACUAGUCACCCUCUCUCUCACUGUGUCACUAGUCACCCUCUCUCUCACUAUGUCACUAGUCACCCCCUCCCUCACU
This is a non-coding RNA of Pelobates cultripes (western spadefoot toad), 191 nucleotides long. NCBI's taxonomy places the organism in Eukaryota, Metazoa, Chordata, Amphibia, Anura, Pelobatidae. The record is from the annotation of a GenBank genome assembly.